UAAACGGGUUAUUGUGGCCCGGUGUUGUGUGUGGUACCUGGAAUUGGCUCCAGAGAGGUUGGUAAACAGCAGCUAAAGACAUAGUCUUGACGAGGAGAAAUCCAGGGUAGCUCCCAUCUGAGUACGUCGCAAACCAACGUGCCAAUCCGGAGAAUGGGGUGAAACUCCUCUGAAAUCCGGUGUUGCUUCAUUCCACACGAAGCACAAACAAACUGAAACACUUCAGAGGUUGUUGACCUGGAGGUACAUUAAGUUUGA
The submitters of this non-coding RNA (258 nucleotides) gave its source as unclassified sequences. The record is from Rfam.